This 99-nucleotide ribosomal RNA is filed under the name uncultured bacterium. RNAcentral describes it as "partial 16S ribosomal RNA". It matches the Rfam family "Bacterial small subunit ribosomal RNA", at positions 1386 to 1482 of the family's 1533-position model. The record is from RNAcentral.
CACACCGCCCGUCACACCACGGGAGUCGGUUAUUCCAGAAGCAGUUGCGCUAACCCGCAAGGGGGGCAGGCUGCCAAGGACUGGCUGGUGACUGGGGUG